UUUGGAUGAUAUAAAAAAACGAACAAGGUUUCCGUAGGUGAACCUGCGGAAGGAUCAUUAAAGAAAUUUAAUAAUUUUGAAAAUGGAUUUUUUUGUUUUGGCAAGAGCAUGAGAGCUUUUACUGGGCAAGAAGACAAGAGAUGGAGAGUCCAGCCGGGCCUGCGCUUAAGUGCGCGGUCUUGCUAGGCUUGUAAGUUUCUUUCUUGCUAUUCCAAACGGUGAGAGAUUUCUGUGCUUUUGUUAUAGGACAAUUAAAACCGUUUCAAUACAACACACUGUGGAGUUUUCAUAUCUUUGCAACUUUUUCUUUGGGCAUUCGAGCAAUCGGGGCCCAGAGGUAACAAACACAAACAAUUUUAUCUAUUCAUUAAAUUUUUGUCAAAAACAAGAAUUUUCGUAACUGGAAAUUUUAAAAUAUUAAAAACUUUCAACAACGGAUCUCUUGGUUCUCGCAUCGAUGAAGAACGCAGCGAAAUGCGAUACGUAAUGUGAAUUGCAGAAUUCCGUGAAUCAUCGAAUCUUUGAACGCACAUUGCGCCCCUUGGUAUUCCAGGGGGCAUGCCUGUUUGAGCGUCAUUUCCUUCUCAAACAUUCUGUUUGGUAGUGAGUGAUACUCUUUGGAGUUAACUUGAAAUUGCUGGCCUUUUCAUUGGAUGUUUUUUUUCCAAAGAGAGGUUUCUCUGCGUGCUUGAGGUAUAAUGCAAGUACGGUCGUUUUAGGUUUUACCAACUGCGGCUAAUCUUUUUUUAUACUGAGCGUAUUGGAACGUUAUCGAUAAGAAGAGAGCGUCUAGGCGAACAAUGUUCUUAAAGUUUGACCUCAAAUCAGGUAGGAGUACCCGCUGAACUUAAGCAUAUCAAUAAGCGGAGGAAAA
Molecule: ribosomal RNA, 874 nt
Filed under: Saccharomyces cerevisiae (brewer's yeast)
Lineage: Eukaryota; Fungi; Ascomycota; Saccharomycetes; Saccharomycetales; Saccharomycetaceae
Description: eukaryotic LSU rRNA
Rfam family: 5.8S ribosomal RNA (bases 423-576)
Source: RNAcentral